This 478-nucleotide ribosomal RNA is filed under the name uncultured bacterium. RNAcentral's name for it is "bacterial SSU rRNA". It matches the Rfam family "Bacterial small subunit ribosomal RNA", at positions 68 to 578 of the family's 1533-position model. The record is from RNAcentral.
GGCGAGGAGAGCUUGCUUUCUCAAGCGAGUGGCGAACGGGUGAGUAACGCGUGAGGACCUGCCUCAAAGAGGGGGACAACAGUUGGAAACGACUGCUAAUACCGCAUAAGCCGGCAUCGGAAAAGGAGCAAUCCGCUUUGAGAUGGCCUCGCGUCCGAUUAGCUAGUUGGUGAGGUAAUGGCCCACCAAGGCGACGAUCGGUAGCCGGACUGAGAGGUUGAACGGCCACAUUGGGACUGAGACACGGCCCAGACUCCUACGGGAGGCAGCAGUGGGGAAUAUUGCACAAUGGGGGAAACCCUGAUGCAGCGACGCCGCGUGGAGGAAGAAGGUCUUCGGAUUGUAAACUCCUGUUGUUGAGGAAGAUAAUGACGGUACUCAACAAGGAAGUGACGGCUAACUACGUGCCAGCAGCCGCGGUAAAACGUAGGUCACAAGCGUUGUCCGGAAUUACUGGGUGUAAAGGGAGCGCAGGCGG